GAUGAACGCUGGCGGCGUGCCUAAUACAUGCAAGUCGAGCGAACAGACGAGGAGCUUGCUCCUCUGACGUUAGCGGCGGACGGGUGAGUAACACGUGGAUAACCUACCUAUAAGACUUGGAUAACUUCGGGAAACCGGAGCUAAUACCGGAUAAUAUAUUGAACCGCAUGGUUCAAUAGUGAAAGACGGUUUUGCUGUCACUUAUAGAUGGAUCCGCGCCGCAUUAGCUAGUUGGUAAGGUAACGGCUUACCAAGGCAACGAUGCGUAGCCGACCUGAGAGGGUGAUCGGCCACACUGGAACUGAGACACGGUCCAGACUCCUACGGGAGGCAGCAGUAGGGAAUCUUCCGAAAUGGGCGAAAGCCUGACGGAGCAACGCCGCGUGAGUGAUGAAGGUCUUCGGAUCGUAAAACUCUGUUAUUAGGGAAGAACAAAUGUGUAAGUAACUAUGCACGUCUUGACGGUACCUAAUCAGAAAGCCACGGCUAACUACGUG
Molecule: ribosomal RNA, 497 nt
Filed under: uncultured bacterium
Lineage: Bacteria
Description: partial 16S ribosomal RNA
Rfam family: Bacterial small subunit ribosomal RNA
Source: RNAcentral